CCUACGGGGUGCAGCAGUGGGGAAUAUUGGACAAUGGGCGAAAGCCUGAUCCAGCCAUGCCGCGUGUGUGAAGAAGGCCUUCGGGUUGUAAAGCACUUUCAGUGGGGAAGAAAGCCUUGGGGCUAAUACCCUCGAGGAAGGACAUCACCCACAGAAGAAGCACCGGCUAACUCCGUGCCAGCAGCCGCGGUAAUACGGAGGGUGCGAGCGUUAAUCGGAAUUACUGGGCGUAAAGCGCGCGUAGGCGGUCUGAUAAGCCGGUUGUGAAAGCCCCGGGCUCAACCUGGGAACGGCAUCCGGAACUGUCAGGCUAGAGUGCAGGAGAGGAAGGUAGAAUUCCCGGUGUAGCGGUGAAAUGCGUAGAGGUCGGGAGGAAUACCAGUGGCGAAGGCGGCCUUCUGGACUGACACUGACGCUGAGGUGCGAAAGCGUGGGUAGCAAACAGGAUUAGAUACCCGUGUAGUC
This 465-nucleotide ribosomal RNA is filed under the name Vreelandella stevensii. RNAcentral's name for it is "partial 16S ribosomal RNA". It matches the Rfam family "Bacterial small subunit ribosomal RNA", at positions 338 to 795 of the family's 1533-position model. Lineage: Bacteria; Pseudomonadati; Pseudomonadota; Gammaproteobacteria; Oceanospirillales; Halomonadaceae. The record is from RNAcentral.